AUUGAACGCUGGCGGCAUGCCUUACACAUGCAAGUCGAACGGCAGCACGGGAGCAAUCCUGGUGGCGAGUGGCGAACGGGUGAGUAAUACAUCGGAACGUGCCCGAUCGUGGGGGAUAACGGAGCGAAAGCUUUGCUAAUACCGCAUACGAUCUACGGAUGAAAGCAGGGGACCGCAAGGCCUUGCGCGGACGGAGCGGCCGAUGGCAGAUUAGGUAGUUGGUGGGAUAAAAGCUUACCAAGCCGACGAUCUGUAGCUGGUCUGAGAGGACGACCAGCCACACGGGGACUGAGACGCGGCCCAGACUCCUACGGGAGGCAGCAGUGGGGAAUUUUGGACAAUGGGCGCAAGCCUGAUCCAGCCAUGCCGCGUGCAGGAUGAAGGCCUUCGGGUUGUAAACUGCUUUUGUACGGAACGAAACGGCUCUUUCUAAUAAAGAGGGCUAAUGACGGUACCGUAAGAAUAAGCACCGGCUAACUACGUGCCAGCAGCCGCCGUAA
This 500-nucleotide ribosomal RNA is filed under the name uncultured bacterium. RNAcentral describes it as "partial 16S ribosomal RNA". It matches the Rfam family "Bacterial small subunit ribosomal RNA", at positions 29 to 523 of the family's 1533-position model. The record is from RNAcentral.